CAGGUAGACUGAUGUUCUGUCUGACUAAUGUCAGUUAGGAGGUAGGACUGAAAAAACAUAAAUUUACAUCUUUAAUCAUGUUAAAAAAGUUUCUAAAGAGGAGAAUUGAUCAGAAAUGUCUUUGAGGAGAAACACUCGUUCUUCUUCAGCUUCAGGAAGAUUAGAAACCAAAUCUGGAUUCAGCCUUCCUUUUGGACUCAGUGAUGGACUGGAGAAAAAAAUAAACCUGUCCAGGCCGGGGGACUUGGAUGAAAAAACAGAUGACUUCACAGCAGCUCAACAUGUGCACUUCAGUGACGGGGAAAGGGAGCAGACCAUGUGGAUGCUAAAACACCACCGACGAAGACACUCCGUCACACUUGGAGAUAAAAUUCUAGUCUGUAAACAGCAGCACAGCUGUUUUCGAUCAGCCAACAAACUUGAGCCCUUCGACUUUAAAAACUGCUUGGUGAGUUGA
Molecule: long non-coding RNA, 457 nt
Filed under: Oryzias javanicus (javanese ricefish)
Lineage: Eukaryota; Metazoa; Chordata; Actinopteri; Beloniformes; Adrianichthyidae
Description: lncRNA (ENSOJAG00000010465.1)
Source: RNAcentral